CCACGUGACGUCCAUGGUUCUUUGGCCCCAAAUAUCACCCGCUGGAAGUUGGCUCAUGCGGGAGGGCCUUUCUUAUUCAGUCUCCUACCCUGUAAAUGGUGGGAUCAGAAGAAGCAGAGACAGCGACUCCUAGAGAAAUUGAAAAUUGAGAAAAGCAUGUGGGACAAGCGAUGGCAGUGAAGAGGACUGUGGGGAACUUGAAAGAGACAGCUUCAUGAAAGAGAAUGAGCCUUGAUGGGAGCGGGUGGGGAAAGGAGAGAAAUUCAGAGAAAAGUAGGAUCUCCGGAGCGUUAAGGGUGAGCAACACAGGGAGGUGUGGUGGUUCUUUCCGACUCUGCGAGCCCUAAUCUCCUAGAGUUUUCUCAAAUCCAUGUCCGUUGAGUCCAGGGAUGGUAUCCAACCAUCUCAUCCUCUACCACCCUCUUCUAUAGCCUUCAAGGGAGAGCGUCUGUAAAUCAGGGGUCCCAGAGAGGGUGACAGUGGAGAGGCAGUUUAAACAGACAGCCCACAAAGGGGAUACAAGAGUUGGGACCAGAGCCACAAUAUCUUGCUGAGAGAGAAAGGGGACUUCUAGAGAUUGGAGGAGCUGAGAAAAGAAGAGAGCUGAAAGGAAGCAUAACCACUUGGGAGUGCCAGAGUGUUGGGAGGGAGGGAGGGCAGAGGUGGAAGAAGAAAGGCAGAAAUACAAGGAGAUUGAGGAUCACCAAGGAGAUUGAGAGAAAGCAACUUGAAGGUGAUAGAUGGAAGAGAGAGGCGGGAUGGGAAGCAGGGAAGAAGUAGAGAGGAGGACAGGCACAGCAGGAGAGCAGAGAAAAAGAGACAGAGAAAGAAGUAGGGAAACAGUUCAACCAAAUGGAGUGGAAACAGCUAGUGUGCAGGUAAUGGUGGGGACUAGAUCCAGAAGAGUGCUGAAUCAGUUGGGUAUGAAUUAUUAAGUUGUAAUACAUUGAUUUUUGGCUUUAAAACCUAAUGCAAAUCUUGCUUCUUUAUACAGAUAAGAAUGAGAAUUGCAAAACUUCUGUCUGUGAGGCAUGUGUAUUU
RNAcentral lists this long non-coding RNA (1041 nucleotides) under Capra hircus (goat). RNAcentral's name for it is "lncRNA (ENSCHIG00010019759.1)". The record is from RNAcentral. Lineage: Eukaryota; Metazoa; Chordata; Mammalia; Artiodactyla; Bovidae.